AGAGUUUGAUCCUGGCUCAGAAUGAACGCUGGCGGCAUGCCUAACACAUGCAAGUCGAACGAAGCCUUCGGGCUUAGUGGCGCACGGGUGCGUAACGCGUGGGAAUCUGCCCUUGGGUUCGGAAUAACAGUUAGAAAUGACUGCUAAUACCGAAUGAUGUCGUAAGACCAAGGAUUUAUCGCCCAGGGAUGAGCCCGCGUAGGAUUAGCUAGUUGGUGUGGUAAAGGCGCACCAAGGCGACGAUCCUUAGCUGGUCUGAGAGGAUGAUCAGCCACACUGGGACUGAGACACGGCCCAGACUCCUACGGGAGGCAGCAGUGGGGAAUAUUGGACAAUGGGCGAAAGCCUGAUCCAGCAAUGCCGCGUGAGUGAUGAAGGCCUUAGGGUUGUAAAGCUCUUUUACCCGGGAUGAUAAUGACAGUACCGGGAGAAUAAGCUCCGGCUAACUCCGUG
RNAcentral lists this ribosomal RNA (453 nucleotides) under uncultured bacterium. Its description in RNAcentral is "bacterial SSU rRNA". It matches the Rfam family "Bacterial small subunit ribosomal RNA", at positions 8 to 507 of the family's 1533-position model. The record is from RNAcentral.